AACUUUUUGAAUCCAUGAUGAGAUUUUGUAAGACAGCAACCUAUUUGGUCUGAUCAGACUUUCAAGAUUAGUGAAGUU
Schistosoma rodhaini is the source of this 78-nucleotide non-coding RNA. Lineage: Eukaryota; Metazoa; Platyhelminthes; Trematoda; Strigeidida; Schistosomatidae. The record is from Rfam.